RNAcentral lists this unclassified non-coding RNA (348 nucleotides) under uncultured fungus. RNAcentral's name for it is "partial contains 5.8S ribosomal RNA and internal transcribed spacer 2". The stretch from base 1 to 133 matches the Rfam family "5.8S ribosomal RNA", at positions 22 to 154 of the family's 154-position model. Lineage: Eukaryota; Fungi. The record is from RNAcentral.
UGGCUCUCGCAUCGAUGAAGAACGCGGCGAAAUGCGAUAAGUAAUGUGAAUUGCAGAUUUCAGUGAAUCAUCGAAUCUUUGAACGCACCUUGCGCUCCUAGGUCUUCCGAGGAGCAUGCCUGUUUGAGUGCCCAGAAUCAAUCUCAACAAACACAUUCGUGUGCAAGUUGGACUUGGAGGUUUGCCGUUGACUUGUUCACGGCUCCUCCUAAAUAUAUUAGCUGCUUGGUAAUGAUACCGUUGGCUUGAUAUUAUGUCUAUGCUGCGGUUGAAUUAAUCCAGUGCUUCUAAUCGUCUUCGGACACUAUUCUGACCUCGGGCCUCAAAUCAGGUAGGAUUACCCGCUGA